CAAGGCCUUUGCUGAGCUCACUCCAAGAAUUUCUCUUCAUUUCUGCAGGGAAAUAACCUAAGGCGCCACAAUAUUACCUAUCAGGGCAGCAUAGCAGAGCUGAAAUCUCUGUGAAGAAGAGGAUUUACCCUAAGGAGAAGAGAAAAUGGAGUCAGAAGUCAGAGUGAAGGAAAGCAUUGAAAGUGAGUGACAACAGAAAACAGUAACUUUCAUCAAAUUGCUUUUGCAUCUGGCGCCUGUCUUCUACGUUGCCAAAUAUAUGCACUCCUGCAUGAUGGGUGAGUCUUGCCAAAUCCUUCUGAACUUGUUUUACUUAAUUUUUUUUCCUCUGACAUUUGAAAAAUUUCCAAUUUGCUUUCCUAUUGGCUACAUCCUGCAUCAUAAUUUUUGUGGACUGUUCCCUUGCCCCGCACAUCCCCUAAAUCAUGAAUUAUUCAACCACUCUACUUAAAAAACAUUAUCUGUAUUUUUAGUCCAGAGAACAUUAAAUGCUGCUAUGACAUCAGUCAGUUAACUUUAUUGUGCUGUCCUCAGAACCAUAAACGAACUGGAUUUCAGAUGCAGACAGACCUGC
RNAcentral lists this long non-coding RNA (574 nucleotides) under Gallus gallus (chicken). Lineage: Eukaryota; Metazoa; Chordata; Aves; Galliformes; Phasianidae. The record is from RNAcentral.